AAGUUAGAGUGUGGCCUCACACCUCCAGGGUGUAGGAUCCAAUCCCAGGCUUGUCUUUUUAUUGUUAUUAAGACUGCAUAGUGUCUCAGAGCGAAUCACUGUGGCCUCACACCUCCAGGGGUGUAGGUUCCAAUCCCAUGCUCGUAUUUUCAUUAUUAUUGUUACAGCCGCAUGGUGGCUCAGUUCUGUAGUCCUGUGGCCUCAUACAUUCUGGGUUGUGGGUUUGAUUCCUGGCUCACUGUGUGUGUGGAGGCUUCUGGAUCGUCUGGUUUUCUCUCACAGUUGCAAAACUGGAGUUGCCCAUUGUAGGUCAGUGUCUGCCUUGUGUUGGGGGGAUAGGCUCCAAGCUCACCACAACCCGGUACUGGAUAGAGGUGUGGCCCUUAGAUGUGUUUUGUGGGAUAGGCUCCAAGCUCACCACAACCCGGUACUGGAUAGAGGUUUGGCCCUUAGAUGUGUUUUGUGGGAUAGGCUCCAAGCUCACCACAACCCGGUACUGGAUAGAGGUUUGGCCCUUAGAUGUCUUUUGUGGGAUAGGCUCCAAGCUCACCACAACCCGGUACUGGAUAGAGGUUUGGCCCUUAGAUGUGUUUUGUGGGAUAGGCUCCAAGCUCACCACAACCCGGUACUGGAUAGAGGUUUGGCCCUUAGAUGUCUUUUGUGGGAUAGGCUCCAAGCUCACCACAACCCGGUACUGGAUAGAGGUUUGGCCCUUAGAUGUCUUUUGUGGGAUAGGCUCCAAGCUCACCACAACCCGGUACUGGAUAGAGGUUUGGCCCUUAGAUGUGUUUUGUGGGAUAGGCUCCAAGCUCACCACAACCCGGUACUGGAUAGAGGUUUGGCCCUUAGAUGUCUUUUGUGGGAUAGGCUCCAAGCUCACCACAACCCGGUACUGGAUAGAGGUGUGGCCCUUAGAUGUCUUUUGUGGGAUAGGCUCCAAGCUCACCACAACCCGAUACUGGAGGUUUGGCCCUUAGAUGUGUUUUGUGAAGGUAUUUUAAGGAGCCGUUCAUUCACUAUGUCCUUAACGUUACGCUACUCCUGCUUUUGAAUGUGAAAUGCAGAAGGCAUCAGCGGUAAGGCCCCCGACAACCUUCAUCUACAGUUUAGCUGCUGAUUUAGCUAGCCGGGUCGGCACUGCUGCACUGCUGGACUCCAGUGCAUGAGCGGCAGUCAGGGGCAGCAGCUGUUGAAAGGUGAGCCCCGCGGCACCACUGCCAAAAAGCUGCCCUGGAAAUCACUCUCACUUCGUCGUAUCCGGUGCCGGGCAGCGGGAUCGUAGAAAGCCGCCAGGCUGAUGCACUGACAUACGUGACCAGAAGUAAAAUGGCCGAAACUACAUCGUCACUCCAUUAGCAGCCGGCGCUAAAACCGCAGCCUACCGCUAACUUUAUUCCUGUCUCCCUUUCGGUUUUUUCCUUAAAUCGUCAACCUCUUCUUCAAUUUCUGCUGCGUUGUAUGGCUUUUUAGAAUAUUCGAUAUAGCCGCCCCCCCCAGCCAGCCCCCUAAAUGGAGAACGUGUUGGGGUUGUAUUUCAGUUAGCUGAGCAGCUGGGCUGGCUGAUGCACCAAGGGCUCCCAACAGUAACUAUCCUGAGCAGUCAGGUCGUUUUGCGUAAUUGACAUGUUGUGAAUAAUACAUUAGAGUGUUUUAUUUUUCAAAAGGAAAAUAUGUGCAUUAUUUAUUAACUUACAAGAAUAUUCUACGUUCAGAUUUUUGUUGUUAUAUAUGGACUGUUACUCGUACUAUUGGGGUGUGAGUAUCCGUUCUGGACUGAAACCCGCAACCUUUUGGGCUGAAGCGUACAGCUAAAAACCAUAUCCACACAUGUCCAUGGACCCAGCUGAAGUAUUUUUUUUUAAAUAUUCCGCAUUCAUGCCUCCUGCUGUUCUC
This is a long non-coding RNA of Brienomyrus brachyistius, 1893 nucleotides long. RefSeq lists it as uncharacterized. The record is from RefSeq and is a predicted model, not a curated record. Lineage: Eukaryota; Metazoa; Chordata; Actinopteri; Osteoglossiformes; Mormyridae. The transcript is spliced from 4 exons.